RNAcentral lists this small RNA (102 nucleotides) under Vibrio jasicida. The record is from RNAcentral. Lineage: Bacteria; Pseudomonadati; Pseudomonadota; Gammaproteobacteria; Vibrionales; Vibrionaceae.
AUGUUCACCAACAAUAUGUGUUGGUCAAAAGUUUAGCGCAGGCUCUAUGAAAGGAGCCGUUUCCCCUAGGCCCAAAAUAAGGACGAGUUUGGGCCAUUUUUU